GUGGGGAAUCUUAGACAAUGGGCGCAAGCCUGAUCUAGCCAUGCCGCGUGAGCGAUGAAGGCCUUAGGGUUGUAAAGCUCUUUCAGCUGGGAAGAUAAUGACGGUACCAGCAGAAGAAGCCCCGGCUAACUCCGUGCCAGCAGCCGCGGUAAUACGGAGGGGGCUAGCGUUGUUCGGAAUUACUGGGCGUAAAGCGCACGUAGGCGGAUCAGAAAGUCAGAGGUGAAAUCCCAGGGCUCAACCUUGGAACUGCCUUUGAAACUCCUGAUCUUGAGGUGGAGAGAGGUGAAUGGAAUUCCGAGUGUAGAGGUGAAAUUCGUAGAUAUUCGGAGGAACACCAGUGGCGAAGGCGGCUCACUGGCUCGAUACUGACGCUGAGGUGCGAAAGCGUGGGGAGCAAACAGGAUUAGAAACCCGGGUAGUCC
RNAcentral lists this ribosomal RNA (425 nucleotides) under uncultured bacterium. RNAcentral describes it as "partial 16S ribosomal RNA". It matches the Rfam family "Bacterial small subunit ribosomal RNA", at positions 354 to 796 of the family's 1533-position model. The record is from RNAcentral.